This 754-nucleotide ribosomal RNA is filed under the name Pantoea dispersa. Its description in RNAcentral is "bacterial SSU rRNA". It matches the Rfam family "Bacterial small subunit ribosomal RNA", at positions 44 to 790 of the family's 1533-position model. The record is from RNAcentral. Lineage: Bacteria; Pseudomonadati; Pseudomonadota; Gammaproteobacteria; Enterobacterales; Erwiniaceae.
GGGUCUAACAUGCAGUCGAACGGCAGCACAGAAGAGCUUGCUCUUUGGGUGGCGAGUGGCGGACGGGUGAGUAAUGUCUGGGAAACUGCCCGAUGGAGGGGGAUAACUACUGGAAACGGUAGCUAAUACCGCAUAACGUCGCAAGACCAAAGUGGGGGACCUUCGGGCCUCACACCAUCGGAUGUGCCCAGAUGGGAUUAGCUAGUAGGUGGGGUAAUGGCUCACCUAGGCGACGAUCCCUAGCUGGUCUGAGAGGAUGACCAGCCACACUGGAACUGAGACACGGUCCAGACUCCUACGGGAGGCAGCAGUGGGGAAUAUUGCACAAUGGGCGCAAGCCUGAUGCAGCCAUGCCGCGUGUAUGAAGAAGGCCUUCGGGUUGUAAAGUACUUUCAGCGGGGAGGAAGGCGGUGAGGUUAAUAACCUCGCCGAUUGACGUUACCCGCAGAAGAAGCACCGGCUAACUCCGUGCCAGCAGCCGCGGUAAUACGGAGGGUGCAAGCGUUAAUCGGAAUUACUGGGCGUAAAGCGCACGCAGGCGGUCUGUUAAGUCAGAUGUGAAAUCCCCGGGCUUAACCUGGGAACUGCAUUUGAAACUGGCAGGCUUGAGUCUCGUAGAGGGGGGUAGAAUUCCAGGUGUAGCGGUGAAAUGCGUAGAGAUCUGGAGGAAUACCGGUGGCGAAGGCGGCCCCCUGGACGAAGACUGACGCUCAGGUGCGAAAGCGUGGGGAGCAAACAGGAUUAAUAUUUUUGU